This 690-nucleotide ribosomal RNA is filed under the name uncultured bacterium. RNAcentral describes it as "bacterial SSU rRNA". It matches the Rfam family "Bacterial small subunit ribosomal RNA", at positions 395 to 1104 of the family's 1533-position model. The record is from RNAcentral.
CGCCGCGUGAGGGAAGAAGGUUUUCGGAUUGUAAACCUCUGUCAGGGGGGAAGAUAGUGACGGUACCCCUUGAGGAAGCCACGGCUAACUACGUGCCAGCAGCCGCGGUAAUACGUAGGUGGCAAGCGUUGUCCGGAAUUACUGGGUGUAAAGGGAGUGUAGGCGGGACUUUAAGUCAGAUGUGAAAUGCGCAGGCUCAACCUGCGACCUGCAUUUGAAACUGAAGUUCUUGAGUGAAGUAGAGGCAAGCGGAAUUCCUAGUGUAGCGGUGAAAUGCGUAGAUAUUAGGAGGAACACCAGUGGCGAAGGCGGCUUGCUGGGCUUUUACUGACGCUGAGGCUCGAAAGCGUGGGGAGCAAACAGGAUUAGAUACCCUGGUAGUCCACGCCGUAAACGAUGAUAACUAGGUGUGGGGGGAUUGAACCCUUCCGUGCCGCAGCUAACGCAUUAAGUUAUCCACCUGGGGAGUACGUGCGCAAGCAUGAAACUCAAAGGAAUUGACGGGGGCCCGCACAAGCAGUGGAGUAUGUGGUUUAAUUCGAAGCAACGCGAAGAACCUUACCGGGGCUUGACAUGGGGACGACAGGCGUAGAGAUACGCCCUUCUUCGGACGUCCCACACAGGUGGUGCAUGGUUGUCGUCAGCUCGUGUCGUGAGAUGUUGGGUUAAGUCCCGCAACGAGCGCAACCC